ACGAUACAUAGCCGACCUGAGAGGGUGAUCGGCCACACUGGGACUGAGACACGGCCCAGACUCCUACGGGAGGCAGCAGUAGGGAAUCUUCGGCAAUGGGGGCAACCCUGACCGAGCAACGCCGCGUGAGUGAAGAAGGUUUUCGGAUCGUAAAGCUCUGUUGUAAGCGAAGAAGAGUGUUAGGAGUGGAAAGUCUAACACAUGACGGUAGCUUACCAGAAAGGGACGGCUAACUACGUGCCAGCAGCCGCGGUAAUACGUAGGUCUCGAGCGUUGUCCGGAUUUAUUGGGCGUAAAGCGAGCGCAGGCGGUUAGAUAAGUCAGAAGUUAAAGGCUGUGGCUCAACCAUAGUACGCUUUUGAAACUGUUUAACUUGAGUGCAGAAGGGGAGAGUGGAAUUCCAUGUGUAGCGGUGAAAUGCGUAGAUAUAUGGAGGAACACCGGUGGCGAAAGCGGCUCUCUGGUCUGUCACUGACGCUGAGGCUCGAAAGCGUGGGUAGCGAACAGGAUUAGAUACCCUGGUAGUCCACGCCGUAAACGAUGAGUGCUAGGUGUUAGACCCUUUCCGGGGUUUAGUGCCGUAGCUAACGCAUUAAGCACUCCGCCUGGGGAGUACGACCGCAAGGUUGAAACUCAAAGGAAUUGACGGGGGCCCGCACAAGCGGUGGAGCAUGUGGUUUAAUUCGAAGCAACGCGAAGAACCUUACCAGGUCUUGACAUCCCUCUGACCAGUCUAGAGAUAGACUUUCCCUUCGGGGCAGAGGUGACAGGUGGUGCAUGGUUGUCGUCAGCUCGUGUCGUGAGAUGUUGGGUUAAGUCCCGCAACGAGCGCAACCCUUAUUGUUAGUUGCCAUCAUUAAGUUGGGCACUCUAGCGAGACUGCCGGUAAUAAACCGGAGGAAGGUGGGGAUGACGUCAAAUCAUCAUGCCCCUUAUGACCUGGGCUACACACGUGCUACAAUGGUUGGUACAACGAGUUGCAAGCCGGUGACGGCAAGCUAAUCUCUUAAAGCCAAUCUCAGUUCGGAUUGUAGGCUGCAACUCGCCUACAUGAAGUCGGAAUCGCUAGUAAUCGCGGAUCAGCACGCCGCGGUGAAUACGUUCCCGGGCCUUGUACACACCGCCCGUCACACCACGAGAGUUUGUAACACCCGAAGUCGGUGAGGUAACCUUUUAGGAGCCAGCCGCCGAAGGUGGGAUAGAUGAUUGGGGUGAAGUCGUAACAAGGUAGCCGUAUCGGAAGGUGCGGCUGGAUCACCUCCUUU
Molecule: ribosomal RNA, 1265 nt
Filed under: Streptococcus zalophi
Lineage: Bacteria; Bacillati; Bacillota; Bacilli; Lactobacillales; Streptococcaceae
Description: Streptococcus sp. CSL 7508 Bacterial small subunit ribosomal RNA
Rfam family: Bacterial small subunit ribosomal RNA
Source: Rfam by way of RNAcentral